GACGAACGCUGGCGGCGUGCCUAAUACAUGCAAGUCGAGCGAUGAAGCUUGGUGCUUGCACCACUUUGAAGAGCAGCGAACGGGUGAGUAACGCGUGGGGAAUCUGCCUUUGAGCGGGGGACAACAUUUGGAAACGAAUGCUAAUACCGCAUAACAACUUUAAACAUAAGUUUUAAGAUUGAAAGAUGCAAUUGCAUCACUCAAAGAUGAUCCCGCGUUGUAUUAGCUAGGUGGUGAGGGAAAGGCUCACCAAGGCGGAGAUACAGAGCCGACCCGAGAGGGGGGUCGGCCCCAUUGGGACUGGGACACCGGCCCAACCUCUACGGGAGGGAGCAGUAGGGAAUCCUCGGCCAAUGGCGAAAGUCCUGCCGAGGAACGGCGCGGGAGGGAAGGAGGGUUUCGGAUCGUAAAACUCUUUUUGUAGAGAAGAAAGUUAGUGGGAGUGGAAAGCGCAUGAAGUGACGGUAACUACUCAGAAAGGCACGGCUAACUACGUG
This 497-nucleotide ribosomal RNA is filed under the name uncultured bacterium. RNAcentral describes it as "partial 16S ribosomal RNA". It matches the Rfam family "Bacterial small subunit ribosomal RNA", at positions 28 to 507 of the family's 1533-position model. The record is from RNAcentral.